AUCAUCAGCAAGCGGGUCCUCCUCCUCCCAAACCCCUUGCGGCGACCACCGGCGCUCCUCCUCCCAAGCCGAUGGUCAUGAUCGAGAAGCCCGACGCACCUCCUCCCGCGUCGGGCUUUUUCG
RNAcentral lists this small RNA (123 nucleotides) under Gellertiella hungarica. Its description in RNAcentral is "Alphaproteobacterial ar14". It matches the Rfam family "Alphaproteobacterial ar14". From Rfam's summary of the family: Smr14C2 was renamed NfeR1 (Nodule Formation Efficiency RNA) highly expressed in salt stress and during the symbiotic interaction on legume roots. Lineage: Bacteria; Pseudomonadati; Pseudomonadota; Alphaproteobacteria; Hyphomicrobiales; Rhizobiaceae. The record is from Rfam by way of RNAcentral.